Molecule: ribosomal RNA, 3492 nt
Filed under: Triticum aestivum (bread wheat)
Lineage: Eukaryota; Viridiplantae; Streptophyta; Magnoliopsida; Poales; Poaceae
Description: partial small subunit ribosomal RNA
Source: RNAcentral
AUGACGUCCGAGCGCCCGCUCAUCGACGUCGCCUCCCCGCACCCGCCGGCGGCGGCGUCGCAACUCCCGCCGUCGCAGCCGGAGCCUCCCGUUCGCGCUGACCACCUGGGCUUCUCCGUUGAGGUCCCGGGCCCCUUCCGCCCCUCCCGCCGCGACCAGCCCGACCCGUCCGCGUCGGAGCGGGAGCUCCACGAGGGGGGUGAGUACCGCGCCGUCGCUGUGGGGGAGCCCUCGCCGGAGUUUGCCGGCAACGCUGUCCGGACGGCCAAGUACUCCGCGCUCACCUUCCUGCCGCGCAACCUGUUCGAGCAGUUCCGACGGCUGUCGUACGUCUACUUCCUCGCCAUCACCGUGCUCAACCAGCUCCCCCAGGUCGCCGUCUUUGGUCGUGGCGCGUCUGUUCUCCCGCUGGCCUUCGUGCUCUUCGUCACCGCUGUCAAGGACGCCUACGAGGACAUCCGCCGCCACCGCUCCGACCGCAGGGAGAACAACCGCCUCGCCGCCGUCCUCGCGCCUCAAACCGCCGGCGAGUACCUCCCCAAGAAAUGGAAGCACAUACGCGUCGGGGACGUCGUACGCGUCGCGUCCAACGAGACGCUCCCCGCCGACAUGGUACUGCUCGCCACUAGUGACCCCACUGGCCUCGCGCACGUCCAGACCGUCAAUCUUGACGGGGAGACCAACCUCAAGACGAGGUAUGCCAAGCAGGAGACGCAGUUGAGUUUCUCUCACGACGGCCACGUAGCUGGUAUGCUGCACUGCGAGCGGCCCAACAGGAACAUUUAUGGGUUCCAGGCGAAUUUGGAGAUCGACGGCAAGCGUGUCUCACUCGGACCGUCCAACAUUGUGCUCCGUGGUUGUGAGCUCAAGAAUACCACCUGGGCAAUAGGGGUUGUGGUUUAUGCUGGAAAGGAGACUAAGGUCAUGCUCAAUAACUCUGGGCCGCCAUCCAAGCGUAGCCGCUUGGAGACUCAGUUGAAUCGGGAGACAGUCAUAUUGUCCAUUAUGCUCAUUGGGAUGUGCAUAACUGCAUCAGUGCUCGCAGGGAUUUGGCUGCUGAAUCACCAGCGGGAGCUUGAGUUCACCCAAUUCUUUAGAGAAAAGGAUUACACAACCGGGAAGAACUACAAUUACUAUGGAAUCGGAAUGCAGAUAUUCGUUACAUUCCUCAUGGCCGUCAUAGUGUAUCAGGUCAUCAUUCCUAUCUCAUUGUAUAUAUCAAUGGAGUUGGUACGACUUGGGCAAGCAUAUUUCAUGGGCGCCGACAAUGACUUGUAUGACGAAUCGUCAAGGUCCAGGUUCCAGUGCAGGGCUCUGAAUAUAAAUGAGGAUUUGGGGCAGAUUAAGUAUGUUUUCUCUGAUAAGACAGGGACGCUGACAGAGAACAAGAUGGAGUUCAUGUGUGCAUCCAUUCACGGAGUUGAUUACAGUUCUGGCAAACCUGCAUGCGGGUCCUCAGUUGUAGUUGAUGAUCUUCUGUGGACACCAAAAAUGGCAGUUAGGACUGACCCUCAGCUUUUGAAGUUAUUGAACAAUGACAGCUCAAAUGAGGAAGCAAAGCUUGUCCUUGAAUUCUUCCUUGCUCUUGCUGCCUGCAAUACAAUUGUGCCACUUGUCCUGGACACUAGAGAUCCUAAACAAAAGUUGAUUGACUAUCAGGGUGAGUCCCCUGAUGAGCAGGCACUAGCUUAUGCUGCAGCAUCUUAUGGCAUUGUGCUUGUUGAGCGAACAUCUGGUUACGUAGUGAUCGAUGUCCUUGGUGACAGACAGAGAUUUGAUAUAUUAGGACUUCAUGAGUUUGAUAGUGAUCGUAAGAGGAUGUCUGUCAUUGUCGGCUGCCCUGAUAAGACUGUUAAGUUAUAUGUCAAAGGCGCAGACAGUUCAAUGUUUGGAAUUAUCAACAAAUCAUUAGAGCUGGACAAUGUUCGUGCUACAGAGGCACAUCUCCACAAAUAUUCAUCACUUGGCCUAAGAACUCUUGUUGUUGGUAUGCGUGAAUUGAGUCAACCUGAAUUUGAGGAGUGGCAGUUGGCAUAUGAGAAGGCUAGCACAGCAGUACUUGGCAGGGGAAAUUUACUCCGAUCAAUUGCAGCCAAUGUAGAGUGCAAUAUCCACAUAUUGGGGGCCUCUGGGAUUGAAGAUAAGCUUCAAGAUGGGGUACCAGAAGCAAUAGAAUCUCUUCGGCAAGCAGGCAUGAAAGUUUGGAUUUUAACAGGGGAUAAGCAGGAGACAGCAAUUUCUAUUGGCUACUCUUGUAAGCUGCUGACAAAUGACAUGACACAAAUUGUGAUAAAUAACAAUUCUAAGGAGUCUUGCAAGAGAAGUCUCGAGGAAGCACUUGCAAGAACUAAGGAGCACAGAGUUGCUUCGUCAAUUGGCUCACCGUAUCCAGUGUUAGCAUCAGAAUCUUCUGGUACAGUUCUUGCUUUGAUUGUGGACGGUAACAGCCUUGUUUACAUACUUGAGACAGAGUUGCAAGAAGAGCUUUUCAAAGUAGCAACAGAAUGUAGUGUUGUCUUAUGUUGUCGAGUGGCUCCUCUACAAAAGGCAGGCAUAGUUGCGCUUAUCAAAAACAGGACAGAUGAUAUGACCUUAGCAAUUGGUGAUGGAGCAAAUGAUGUUUCAAUGAUUCAAAUGGCUGAUGUUGGGGUUGGUAUCAAUGGCCAAGAAGGAGGACAAGCUGUUAUGGCAUCAGAUUUUUCUAUGGGACAAUUCAGAUUCUUGGUUCCUCUUCUAUUAGUUCAUGGUCACUGGAAUUAUCAAAGGAUGGGUUACAUGAUCCUUUACAACUUCUACAAGAAUGCCACAUUUGUCUUGGUUCUUUUCUGGUAUGUGCUUUAUACAUCAUUCACUUUGACGACUGCUAUCACCGAAUGGAGUAGUCUCCUGUAUACUGUGCUUUAUACAUCCCUUCCAACAAUUGUUGUUGGUAUUCUUGACAAGGAUCUUAGCAAGUCAACACUGCUAGCUUACCCAAAGCUUUAUGGAUCUGGCCAACGGAAUGAGAAGUAUAAUUUGAAUUUGUUUGUCCUCAAUAUGCUUGAAGCACUUUGGCAGAGUUUGGUUGUGUUCUACAUACCGUAUUUUGCAUAUCGACAAAGUACUAUAGGCAUGUCUAGUCUUGGAGAUUUGUGGGCACUUGCAUCAGUCAUUGUUGUAAAUAUGCAAUUGGCCAUGGACAUCAUUCGGUGGAAUUGGAUUAUACAUGCGUUCGUAUGGGGGACGAUAGCAGCAACAGUGAUUUGUCUCUUUGUGAUAGAUUCGAUAUGGGUUCUUCCUGGUUAUGGGGCCAUCUAUCACAUAAUGGGGCAAGGCUUGUUUUGGUUACUGCUGCUUAUCAUUGUUGUCACAGCAAUGGUCCCACAUUUUGCAAUCAAGGCUUUCUCAGAGCAUUUUGUUCCCAGUGAUAUUCAAAUCGGCCGAGAAAUAGAGAAGUUUGAGGCUUUAAAUCAGGUGAACCAUUCGGAAAUUCCAAUGCGAACGUUUUCAUGA